UUUAUCCCGCGACAAACAGCCCCACCGAGAGCCGCUGAAUGGGCGUGAUUAGCAUGUGAAAAGGCGAGCAAAACUCCGCGGUUCAACAGCUAAAGAGCAAUUUGAUGGGGCUGGGAUGGGGAAAUUACUUGAUUAGCGUCCAUCGGAGGAGAACACGGUUACAGCCCCUCGGCCGGGAAUCCGACAGGGGAACAAAACGCGCUGGCCUGGAGGGCAGUGCUGAAGGCCCGCGGCCGAGGUUUUGCUUUAAGUAUACUUGGGCCUCGCAACUCAGCUGUUUGCGAACAGAGACCUGGCGAAUCGCCGAGGAGCGGCGCGGCUCCGCGUCCCCACUUCAAGGCCAAGUGGAGAGUGAGGACACGCUGAGGCCCCCUGCUACCUAUCAUGCCAUCUUAAGCGGGCACCGACUCCUUACCCAGAAAAGAUCCUGGAGCUAAAGCCUGCGCCUACACCAGAGAGGGGAAUUUAAGUUUCCCACUCUCGACGUGUCUGGAACCUUCCCUCUAGCCGCAUACCCACAACCCCCUGCUCCCUGGCUCCUCCCAGUGUCAAGGAAGGAGAAAGACUCCCACCCUGUCCCCAAAGUCUCAGACUAACUCGCUCCAGGUCACAGGACCCACUAAGAGGGCCUUUCCAGCUCAUGCCCGGAACAGGGGUGCAGCGGCGACCCUCUGGGAUCUGGAGAGAGAGAAUUUAACACGGCCUUCCUGAAGUACAUUCACGCAAAUGUGAGAAAGACUUCAACGCACAGAAUCGCCAAAGCCCUUGCCGUCUUAAAUAAAUCCUGCCCCUUGGCACAGAAGAACGGAGAACCAAGGAGUUAAUUCCUAUUUUAUAAGAAAAAAAAAAAAAAAAAGGAGGGGGAGAGAGGAAGGGAGUGGAUGGCCCCCACUGAGCGGAACAAUUGUCACUCAGUUGAACAGUGUCAAUUAACAAACCGCAGCUCUGGCAGACUUCAAAAGGCUUGAUUCUUUUUGAAAUGUCUGUGGUGAUGGGUGUGCAGCGAACCCCAGCUCGCCGGUGGCCGCUCACCCCGCUCGCCUCUCUCUCCCUCUGGACUCGGUGCUGAAGCCCCAGUGCAGCUCGCUCCUCCUUCUGUCAGCAGCUGGACCCGGAAGCCCUGACUCCCGGCUUGGCGCCUGUGCUGAGAGCGGAGAAGGACGUCGCGACCGGCAGGCCUGGAGGGCGCAUUGGUGUGCAGAGUGUAGCGGCUGGUCUGGCCCUGGGAACCCCAGACCCGCGAAGCUGGAGGGCGCACUCCCCGGCCUCAGAGCCCCAAACCGGAGGCGCUGUCCAAACGCGCCAACGCUGCAAGCAAUGUGGCAGGGCACACCGAAAUGCGUGUCUCGCACACCUGCCCAUCUUUCCCUGCUCAACACGAAAGCGCCUUGUGGCUCUAAGCGCUUCCUUGGGGUGGCUGGGGCUGUGCAUUUUAAUUCCAAAGUCAAGAGGUUGAACCAUCUCAAAGUUGGCGGGUGGAGGGGGCGGUGGCAGGGAACUAGAUGGCUGGAUGCCUUUGCCUGCGGGGUGGCAGGGCUGUCCCUACCAAUAGCCACGGCUCGGGGCUGGCUUUGUAGUUAUUUUUCCAAGUUCUGCCCGGUGCCCAUCAUAUUGCCCUGAAAAGCAAAAGAG
This 1632-nucleotide long non-coding RNA is filed under the name Homo sapiens (human). RNAcentral describes it as "HSALNT0265264". Lineage: Eukaryota; Metazoa; Chordata; Mammalia; Primates; Hominidae. The record is from RNAcentral.